ACCUAAAUGAAGAUGCAAUCUUCUACCUCAUACUUGAAAUACUUGAACAUUUGGACUUAAUAAUAUAUACUAUACAACCUAAAUAAUAUCUAUGUACAUUCGAACCUUUGAUGUUGAAUUUAUGUUCAUUUGUCAAAGUAGUAGGAAAUCAUCUAAGGACCUAAACCUUGUUAUGAUUCUUAUGGGUGUUUAACUCAUGAAAACAUUAUAACCCUUGGGGUUACCAAGUGUCAUACAAGUGUUAUGUGUGGAGAUGAUUAUUUUGAUAUAAUAUUUUCAUGUCACUUUAGUUUCGAAUCCUUAAUCUUCCGAUUCCCCAAACUCAUACACUUUGUUCCUUUGUGUAGAAGGACAAGGUGCUCCAACUAGCUAAUCCAACAACCAACUUACUAUCGGAUUCUCAAGUUCAAGACUUGCAAAACCGUGAGUAUACUCGUAUUCCCCUCUUUUACUUUUACCACUUUUGGGGUGUAACAUGUUACUUAUUAAAAACUUACACAUGAACAUUUUGCUUAAACACACAAACAUUCCUAUAACGUGCUUGUAUACGUGAUUGCUUGAUACUUUAAACUUCGGUGAUACUUAUGUGUUAAACUUAUCAUUAACUUCGUACAAGCCUAACCGUGACAUAUGUAGCGCUAUAGGAUUAACGACCCGCCCGUAAACUUGUGGUUAUGUCAUGAGCAUCUUCCGUUUCAUUAUUGGUUUGAUAUGUUAGACACAUGCCAAAUUUAUUGUUUAUCUUGAAUCGCAUGCUUGCUAUGAGGAAUUGUUUAAAACUUAUCUUUUGUUAUGUUGAUGAUGACGAUGCUAUGAAAAGAAGUAGCGUUGAUGCCUAGAUACACAUAUAGACGUUUAGGUUUAAUAUGUUGUACCAAUUUUGCUUAUGUUGUUAUGUACUUCUUUGAACUUGUUGUAUUUGAAUUUCUUGUAAUGUUGACAAUUUACUUUAUGAAAUGAAAUCGGU
RNAcentral lists this long non-coding RNA (967 nucleotides) under Helianthus annuus (common sunflower). Its description in RNAcentral is "hypothetical non coding rna". The record is from RNAcentral. Lineage: Eukaryota; Viridiplantae; Streptophyta; Magnoliopsida; Asterales; Asteraceae.